ACUCCUACGGGAGGCAGCAGUGGGGAAUAUUGCACAAUGGGCGCAAGCCUGAUGCAGCCAUGCCGCGUGUAUGAAGAAGGCCUUCGGGUUGUAAAGUACUUUCAGCAGUGAGGAAGGUGGGUAUGUUAAUAGCAUACNCAUUUUGACGUUAGCUGCAGAAGAAGCACCGGCUAACUCCGUGCCAGCAGCCGCGGUAAUACGGAGGGGGGUUAGCGUUGUUCGGAAUUACUGGGCGUAAAGCGCGCGUAGGCGGAUUAUUAAGUUAGAGGUGAAAUCCCCGGGGGCUAACCCCCGGAACUGCCUUUAAUACNGGGUAGUCUUGAGUUCGAGAGAGGGUGAGUGGAAUUUCCGAGUGNAGAGGUGAAAAUUCGUAGAUAUUCGGAGGGAAACACCAGUGGGCGAAAGGCGGCUCACUGGCUCGAUACUGACGCUGAGGUGCGAAAGUGUGGGGAGCAAACAGGAUUAGAUACCCUGGUAGCUACG
This 483-nucleotide ribosomal RNA is filed under the name uncultured bacterium. RNAcentral's name for it is "bacterial SSU rRNA". It matches the Rfam family "Bacterial small subunit ribosomal RNA", at positions 335 to 799 of the family's 1533-position model. The record is from RNAcentral.